CAAGGAAUUGACGGGGGCCCGCACAAGCGGUGGAGCAUGUGGGUUUAAUUCGAAGCAACGCGAAGAACCUUACCAGGCCUUGACAUGCAGAGAACUUUCCAGAGAUGGAUUGGUGCCUUCGGGAACUCUGACACAGGUGCUGCAUGGUUGUCGUCAGCUCGUGCCGUGAGGUGUCGGGUUAAGUCCCAUAACGAGCGCAACCCUUGUCCUUAGUUACCAGCACGUUAUGGUGGGCACUCUAAGGAGACUGCCGGUGACAAACCGGAGGAAGGUGGGGAUGACGUCAAGUCAUCAUGGCCCUUACGGCCUGGGCUACACACGUGCUACAAUGGUCGGUACAAAGGGUUGCCAAGCCGCGAGGUGGAGCUAAUCCCAUAAAACCGAUCGUAGUCCGGAUCGCAGUCUGCAACUCGACUGCGUGAAGUCGGAAUCGCUAGUAAUCGCAGAUCAGCCAAGCUGCGGUGAAUACGUUCCCGGGCCUU
RNAcentral lists this ribosomal RNA (482 nucleotides) under uncultured Pseudomonas sp. RNAcentral describes it as "bacterial SSU rRNA". It matches the Rfam family "Bacterial small subunit ribosomal RNA", at positions 904 to 1382 of the family's 1533-position model. Lineage: Bacteria; Pseudomonadati; Pseudomonadota; Gammaproteobacteria; Pseudomonadales; Pseudomonadaceae. The record is from RNAcentral.